AAGACAAAGUAUAAGGGAAAAAAAUACAUUAACUAAAAUUAGUGUCUGUGAAUAUAAUUAAGAUAACCUUUCAAGAGCUGUUUCUGUGUAAAGCUUGUUACAUUUGACAUGACAGGAAUAUGGGCCUCUGUGAAUAUGAGAGAACAGGAAACUAAUGCCAUUCUAAGUAAUAAUAAUAUUUUUAUGUCAAAAAGGGACGUCGAUGGGGCUGUGGUUGGCUCAGUGGUAGAGCGCUUGCCUAGCAUGUGUGAGGCACUGGGUUUGAUUCUCAGCACUGCUUAUUUAUAUUAUUAUAUAAAUAAAUGGAUAAAAUAAAGGUCUAUCAACAUCUAAAAAAAAAUAAGGAAAAAAAAGGGGGGACAUCAGUGUUCCCAGUUUACCAAGUGAUGCUUGAGGUUUUACACGUUUGUUUUAUACAGAGUUUAGCCUGAGAGGCCUAUCUAUGUCCAUGGCUCAUUUCCCGCUUUCUACUUUAGGUUGCUUGUCUAAAGCCAAGCAUGCAUUAGACAAAUAACUGGUUUGUGUCUGCUUUGUUCCCAGUGGCUUAUGGUAUUCUCCUAAAUUCUUAUGAUGUCUUUGAAUUUAGUGUCUUGGAUGUGAAUGUAAGAUCAGAGGGAUUAACUGGUAGUGCAAGGAAAUAUGUCUGUGACCUGAGCUGUUAUAGUUGGUGAUAUAUCUGGGGUUAGGUAUUGAACUCUGAAAUCAUACUUUUAAAAAUGUUUUGCAUCCUAAUUGUACAGUUGGAAUCAAAUACUUGGAGAAGUAAUACGUAUCUAUUAGCAGCUGUUACUAUAUUUGUGAUUUGGGGAGAGGGGGUAGUACAGGCCCUACAACAAAUAGCUGUUGAUCGCCAGUGUUACACCUCCACUGUGGAUCACUUCAACUGCACGGUUCUUCAUAUAGAUGAUCCACUUUAAAAAAUCCUUUUCGGCUUUGUACAUUUUAAGUAAACAUCCUUGAGACAGGCCAGUCACUCUGAAUUAGAAGAACCCUAAACUCAGUAUCUCUCCCACCUACACACACAAUUUGCUACUUCUGUGGUAGCUGGUGGCUGAAAUAGAAAAGUUAAAUGAAGUCCUGUUUGACAAAAACCUUUGAUCCUAUAGGAGUAAAAACACGCCAAGUGUUUUUACCUUCAGCGGGUCCCUUCAUUUCACCGCUGUGUUAUAUUCCCACAGAGCUCUUUUGAUCUGUGCCAACAGCAUCAACUGGAAUAAAACCAAAAGGCUUCCAUUGUUAAGUGGAUUUGCUUUUUUCUGAGGUGUUUGUUUUGUGUUUCUCAAGCCUUUAACCAAAGGUAACAUCUUUUUCAAGUUCCUUUCUCCCUCCAAGUAAAGUAUUUAAAAUAAUAAUAGUUUUCAAGGUUGGCCUAUUGAGCUACACAAAGCCAAACAUGCAUUAGACAAAUAACUUUUGC
RNAcentral lists this long non-coding RNA (1417 nucleotides) under Marmota monax (woodchuck). Lineage: Eukaryota; Metazoa; Chordata; Mammalia; Rodentia; Sciuridae. The record is from RNAcentral.